AGUCCUGCCAACAGCAUGGGCGCAGAUCCUCUCCCAGUGGAGCAUUUGGAUGACCACGGCUCUGGCUAACACCUCACUUACAGCCUUGGGAGAGAUUCUGAGUCAGAGGCAUCCAGCUAAAUUGACCCACAGACACAGUAAAUCAGGGAUUUCUUCUUGGUUUGGAUCCACUGUUGAUUUUAGGUUACAAAAAGAUGGCAGAUUGCAUCUUGGGCACUCUCUUGUAUGACUUUUUGGAGAAGCCAGUUUUCAUGUUGUGAGAGGCCUGGCAGAGGGGCCCAAAUGAGUUCGCUGGGAAGCGGAUCACAGAAACCAUGAGGCCUAUAAAAGCCCCAGGCUCAGCCAGAGCAGAGCAGAUGAUGGAUGACCAGCUGCAGAGAAGAGCUACCCUUUCUGCUGACAGCAGGAGAUGUCCCAACAACCAGCAGAAGAGAGAAGCUAUCCAUUCUAGGGCCUCUUCUCUGCUGAGAGCUUCAGAAACCUGCAGAGACAUCAAGACUACCAGCUGCAGAGUGGAACAAUCCACUCCAGGGCCACCUCUCUGCUGAGAGCUAAGAAGACAAUGAGAUGACCUGCCUGCUAGGAGGAGCUUCCCUCUCCAGGGUCUCCUUUCUGCUAGGAGCUGAACUCUCAUUGGAACAUCCUGGCUGUGGAAAGGAGCUACCCUCUGCAGGUCUCCUGUGUGCUGUUCUAUUGAUCAAUAAAGCUCCCCUUCAUCUCGUUCAUCCUCCACUUGGCUCUGUACCUCAUUCUUCCUAGUUGCAGGACAAGAACUCGGGACCUACCAAAUGGCAGAGCUAAAAGAGCUAUAACACAGGACUGAAACAUGCCCCCUGCUUGCCACAUUGAGGGCAAAGAGAAGGAGAGAAGAUCUGUGCCUUCUCAGGCAGCCCAGACCUGGGAGCUCCCUGAGCCAGGGCUGUGACUCCCUCUUUGGGGUCCUGUGGUGCCUAGUAUCUCCAAGCUUCCAGGUGCCACUGCAUUUCCUGGUGCCAGCUGGGGAAGCUUCCUGCAGUGCACCUGGUCUGGCCACAGCCUCUUAGAGAGUCAGUGCCUGUGCCAGCACCUGUAACUGCCCACCCCAUUGCAGCAGCCGGCAUGUCCGAUUGCACACUGGCUGAACCCCAUGCUCCCUCACACACCCCUUGCCACUCCAUGCCUGACUUACCCUUGGCAGGUAUGGGAUCCAGGCCAGUAGUGUCAGCCAAGUAAAGCCUGCCAGGCCAGGUAGGCAGAAUAAACCCAGUGGGCCUAAGCAAGACUUGGGCAAAGACAUCACCAGCCAGAAAAACAAUAUCCCAAGAAUCUUGUGACACUAGGCAUAGUGAAGUUCUUUAUUAAUUUGUAGAUUUUUAUCCUGGAAAAUUCUAAUAUUUUCAACUAUUAAAAAAGAUAAUCCCCAAAAUAAUGCUUUAUUGUCAUGUAAAAUAUUAAAUAGAUUGUAGGUAACUUAGCUAUAUUAUUCUAAGAUAAAAUUCAUUAACUUGUCUUCAAGAAACUAGUUCCUAAAAUGCACUUUUAACUGUAUUUAUAAUCUCACUAGUCCUCUACUUAAUUAGGAAGUGGAAUAAAAUAUUUGAUAUAUUUUCUUUUUAUAUUUACAAAAGUCACCAUUUAAAUUCUUUGAAUUUUAACAUGUUAUACUUUUGGAGGAUCCAUUGAGACACUAAAGUGGGUUCAUAAAGCCAACCAAACUGUGAUAGCACAGAAAUGUACUUCAGGAGCUGUUUAGGAGGAGAGACUUUUCUUUCUCCUCAAAGUGAUUCUCAAAUAGCAAUAGAGUCCUGGUGCAGUGGCUCAUGCCUACAAUCGAGCACUUUGGGAGGCCAAGGUGGGAGAAUUGUUUGAGCCCAGGAGUUCAAGAUCAGCACAGGCAACAUAGCGAGACCUCAUCUCUACAAAAAAUACAGAAAUUAGCCAGGUGUGCCGGCAUGUGCUGUGUUUUUUGUCCAGCUACUUGGGAGGCUGAAGUGGAGGGAUUUCUUGAAACUGGGAGGUCAAGACUGAAGUAAGCCAUGAUCCUGCCACUAUACUCCUACAUGGGGGAAAGAGCAAGACUCUGUCUCAAAAACAAAAAAACAAAAAAACAAAAAAACAAGGCAAUAGAACUGUACCUUUGCUGUGAUGCUAGUCUACUACAAGUUGGCUUUUUUCUUUAAAUUUUGAAUUUUUCAUUUUCUUUUCUAGUUCUUCACCAUUUUGGUUCUGGAUAUAGUUUCCACUAGAAGAUGAUAAUGAUGAUAAUGAUAAUCCCCAUGCAUGCAUUAAUAAUUGGGAAUGUAAUUUUAUAAUCUGAACUUUAAAGACCUCUGUUAAGAUUAAAGGGAUUUCUUGUCCUUCAUAUGAGACAUGACAAGGAAUGAGAGUUGUCAUUUUUUUAAUUCUUUGUUUCUCUAUUUGUGUAUCCAAAUAAUUUCAUAAAACAUUUUAUAACUACUAGAAGGGAAAAUAAUCCUUUGAAAUCUUGAACAGUGAAUUUUGGUGUUUCCUUGGUUACUUAAUCUGUUGCAGAGAUGGUUAUAAUUAAAGCUACAAUUUUCUCUGUGUUGCUAUAA
This 2555-nucleotide small RNA is filed under the name Pan troglodytes (chimpanzee). Its description in RNAcentral is "processed transcript". The record is from RNAcentral. Lineage: Eukaryota; Metazoa; Chordata; Mammalia; Primates; Hominidae.